Ziziphus jujuba (common jujube) is the source of this 3247-nucleotide RNA transcript. It is a transcript of the gene named sucrose nonfermenting 4-like protein, with no coding region annotated. The transcript is spliced from 16 exons. The record is from RefSeq and is a predicted model, not a curated record. Lineage: Eukaryota; Viridiplantae; Streptophyta; Magnoliopsida; Rosales; Rhamnaceae.
AAAAAAAAAGGCGGAGGAAGAAAAAAACACAUCGUUUUAUGAUUUUUAUUUUUAUUUUUAACAUCUUUAUCAGAGCUUCUGUCUUUUAGGGUUCGAAAUUAAAGAUUCGAUCGUAUCGCACCCUCUCUCGAUUUUCUCACCCACUUUUAUUUUUAUUUUAAUUUUAUUAUUAUUUUUUUUUGGGGGGAGAUUAAGUUUAUAUGUAAAAUUUUUCCGUAGGGUUUCGAUAAUAUUUCGCUCUUUUUUAUUAUUAUUAUUAUUAUUUUUUUUCCCUAUUCGCUAAGCGAUUCUAAAAUUCGAGGGCCUCAUUGUUAGGGUUAGGGUUUUGUCCGUACGAUUUGGGCUUGUUAAACGGAUAAGCGGGCAUGCCGUGGAGAAAUUGAGAAAUUUUUCAAAAUUUAUCGGGGGCAAAUGUUCGCUGCAGACAUGGAAUCUACGCGGGAAGUCGCUGGGGUUCCGAGCACAGUUCUAAUUCCAAUGCGGUUCGUAUGGCCUUAUGGGGGUAGAAGUGUAUUUCUCAGUGGUUCUUUCACACGGUGGUCUGAACUUGUGCCAAUGACACCCGUUGAAGGUUGCCCCACUGUGUUUCAGGCUAUUUACAGUGUAAUGCCCGGAUUCCACCAGUACAAAUUUUUUGUUGAUGGAGAAUGGAAACACGAUGAGCACCAACCUUUCGUGACGGGAGAAUAUGGAAUAGUGAACACAGUGCUCUUGGCAACAGCUAAUUUCCUUCCUGGAAAUGUAAGUCCAGGGAUAUCUUCUGGAUCUAACAUGGAUGUGGAUAAUGAGGCCUUUCGGCGUUUGGUCCGUAUUGCAGAUGGAACUUUGACCGAUGUGGUGCCGAGGUUAUCAGAGGCUGAUAUACAGGGCUCUCGUCACCGUAUCUCUGCUUUCUUGUCUUCACACACAGUAUAUGAACUACUCCCGGAGUCAGGCAAGGUUGUUGCCCUGGAUGUUGAUUUACCUGUAAAGCAAGCAUUUCAUAUACUGCAUGAGCAGGGAAUCCCUUUAGCGCCACUUUGGGACUUCUGCAAGGGGCAGUUCGUUGGUGUUCUUAGCGUGUUGGAUUUUAUAUUAAUCUUAAGAGAGCUUGGGAAUCAUGGAUCUAAUCUGACGGAAGAAGAGCUUGAAACACAUACUAUAUCUGCUUGGAAAGAGGGAAAAGCAUAUCUUAAUGGACAAAUUGGUGGGCAUGGAAGAGCAUUGUCAAGACACCUCAUCCAUGCUGGGCCUCAUGAUAACUUGAAAGAUGUUGCUUUGAAAAUUUUGCAACAUGAGGUGGCUACAGUUCCCAUUAUUUAUUCAACCUCAGAAGAUGGUUCUUUUCCGCAGCUGUUGCAUCUUGCUUCACUUUCUGGAAUACUUAAAUGUAUUUGGAGGUACUUUAGGAACUGUUCUAGCUUAUUGCCCAUACUUCAACUACCAAUAUGUGAAAUUCCUGUGGGAACAUGGGUUCCAAAAAUUGGAGAGUCAAAUCGACAACCAUUAGCAAUGUUGAGACCUAGUGCUUCUCUUAGUUCAGCAUUAAAUUUGUUAGUUCAAGCUCAAGUAAGUUCAAUACCUAUAGUUGAUGAUAAUGACUCUUUACUGGAUAUAUAUUGUCGGAGUGAUAUAACAGCUUUGGCUAAAGAUAGAGUCUAUACACACAUUAAUCUUAACGAAAUGACUAUACAUCAGGCACUGCAGUUGGGACAAGACUCGUAUUCUCCUUAUGAGAUGAGAAGUCAGAGAUGUCAGAUGUGUUUGCGCUCUGAUUCAUUACAGAAAGUAAUGGAGCGAUUGGCGAAUCCAGGUGUCAGACGACUUGUCAUUGUGGAAGCUGGAAGUAAGAGGGUCGAAGGCAUUGUUUCAGUCAGUGACAUUUUCAAGUUCUUGCUCAGUUAAGUAUGAAGAGAUGACCGAAAAUCAGAAGGGCUCUCUGUCAUCGGUGUUUGGACUCCCUCCACGUUUUCCAGGCACAUCGUAUUUACCCAACUGUUCAUUAUUAAAUCCAAGUACUUACACACGGUGCUUUGGUCCUGUUUCAUUGAAAAUAUACAAUUGGAUUGGUCUCUUUGCUUCAUCGCCUGUAUUUUUCUAUUACUAUAUUUUUUUAGGAAUUUAGGCUUAAAAGAUAGAGAGGCCUGUAAAUUGAGAGGAUUUGAUUCCCUCAUGAAAAUUUGUUGGGUCUUCCCCCAUUCCCCAUUUUUUUUUUUUUUUUCUCCCUUGUUCAUGGAUCGCAUGAAUGCUGCUGAUGUAGAUGCUUUGUUACCGGGUAGCAGGGACCUGUAAUAGUGUUAUUUUGUCACCAUGGAAGGAAAUUUGUGGAAAAAAAAAAAGAGAAAAAAAAAUUAAGAAUGGUUGUUGGAGAGGAUGUUAUUGUGGGGGCUGGGAAGGAAUGCUGAACGAUUAAAACUAUUCUGUGCUAUGCUCACUUGUUAACCUGUAAUUUGGCUUUUUGGUGUAUGAAUGAAACUUCACUUGCACUUUAUUUCUUGAAACAAAAUUAUUAAUUUUUGGAUAUUAUACCGUUUAUCCAAAAAGCUAUUAUGGAAGCCAAAUAAUCGAACGGAUCAAGUUAAAAAAAAAACCCUUUUAUAGUCUCUAAUACUAUGGAUGGUAAACAAUGUCAUAUAAUUUCCUUUAUUUAUGGGAAUAAGACUGAAGGUGGAAAUGAACAAUAAUAAGAAUCAAAAGAAUUUUAUUUUAUUAUUAUAGUUUAACUUUUGCGAAUGAGAUUGAUUAUACUUAAAAUUAUUAAUAUAAGAAAAUAUUAAAGCAAGUAAAGUCGAAUUUGUAACAAUGUGUUUAUUUAUUUUUUUGGGCUUAUUGAGACUCUAGUAAUUAGUCCGUUUGGUGAAUUGAUCCUACUCUCGUACGACGUCGUUGCCGUCCAUGUUAUAUCAGCUCCAGUGGAUUGGAUACAAACACCAGAAAUUUCAAACUGGGUCUCCCACAAUUUACGCACAGAGAGAGAGAGAGAGAGAGAGAUGAAGGACGAGGAGUUGAGCGAAGAAGAAAAGAAGGCUUUGAGAGGCAGCAAAUUCGCACCCCUUCCCUCUCUACCCUCAUCUUCUCGUUCCCAACCCAGGUAGGCGGCACUUCAGAUUCUGGAAGAAAUAUUAGACAUGUAAAUUCCUUUGGUGACUCUGAGCCUGAGAACGCGCAGGAAUCUUCUGAAGAAGGAAAGGCGGAAAGUUCUAAGCCAAAAAAACGUAAGAAAAAGAAGAAGAAACAUGAAAAGAAGAAAAACAAAAAGCAGAAGGUA